GCGGGGGUUGCCCAGCCAGGUCAAAGGCGCAGGGCUUAGGACCCUGUCUCGUAGGAGUCCGUGGGUUCGAAUCCCACCCCCCGCA
Molecule: transfer RNA, 85 nt
Filed under: Methanosarcinales archaeon
Lineage: Archaea; Methanobacteriati; Methanobacteriota; Methanomicrobia; Methanosarcinales
Also listed under: 1 other name
Description: tRNA-Leu
Rfam family: tRNA
About the family: Transfer RNA (tRNA) molecules are approximately 80 nucleotides in length.
Source: RNAcentral